CAAUGUGGGCGGAGUCAAACACGUUUAACCAGAACCCUUCCCGUCUCCUUCAAGGUCACCCAAGUUGAGGUAAACGUCGAAGGUAUCAACGUCAAUGAAAGCCAAUCUUAAUCGAACCUAACCUACAUGGAUAAAAAUAUAAACCAUGGAAUAUGUUCUAUACAUUGAAAUGGAAGCACAGUGUGAUUUCCCUGAGGAAAACAUGCAGCACAUUAGGCGAUGGUGGUGCAUAGUUCUCCUGCAGAACUUUCUCAUGCCGUAAGUCUUGAACAUUAUAAAAGGAACAGGAACAGAUGAUACUGAAAACAAAAUGCAUGACAAACUGGGAGCUGUGAACUGGGAAGCAGAUGUUCUUCUCAUGGACAGCCUAGAGGCAGCAAGGUGGUGCGAACGCCAAACAUUUAAAGGCACCAUUUCCCUCCCAGGUGUAAUUGGUAUGGACGGGGAAGACCGUAUUACACCUCUUAAAGAACUACGGUUGUAUGAUUGCCUGGAUGAAGAGGAACAUAUUCUCCUCAAGGAACCAUUCAUGUUCUCAUUCCAGUUAGAGAGAUGAGAUGUUCCAUGUGGAGGCAGUUGACAAGAAAAUGACUGUCUGCCACUUCUGAGGAGCAGGAGUGAAGCCAUUUUUGAGGAGUGUCAAACCUUGUUUUUGUCUGCUGUGUAAAUUGUGUUAUGUUGUUUAGUAAAGACGUAGAAGUCA
Long non-coding RNA from Oncorhynchus tshawytscha (Chinook salmon), 703 nucleotides. RefSeq lists it as uncharacterized. NCBI's taxonomy places the organism in Eukaryota, Metazoa, Chordata, Actinopteri, Salmoniformes, Salmonidae. The record is from RefSeq and is a predicted model, not a curated record. The transcript is spliced from 5 exons.